UUCUCUCUCUAAAAUUUCUAGAAGAGUUCUAGAAUUCUUGAUUAUUAAUUAAAUCAGCAGAUUUAAUUAAAUUUGAGAAAUUUAUUCGCUUUACUAGAGGGUGUUACCUCCUAAGCCAUUUAUUUAAGUACUAAAAAUUAGGCUCGAGGUCUAUUCAUCGUUAGCGUAUCAUAAUUUCUUAAAAUUAAUCAUUUGAGCACUCAAGCUAAAAUCCGGAAAAUUUAGACUUAUCCUCGUGGAAUUAAUUAGCGGACUAUUAAUUUAUUAAAUCCAUAACAUAGAAAGGCCCAUGAUUUAAUUAGGUUCCUUCUUUAAUUUAACUAGUGGCCCAAAUUAAUUACUUACAUAACUAGCCCAUCUCAUUAAAUAAAAGAGGCCCAGAACAAGAAAAUAAAGAGAGGCCCAAACCUUCUCCAAACCCAUCGGCCUCCCUCUUAUUCCACAAACAACACAACAAAUUCCCUUCCCCUUUUUUUUUCUAACCCUAGCCGAAGAAGGGGACGGCGGCGCCUCCUCGUCUACCGCCGCUAGUUGCUCCGGUCGGCGGCGCAAGGGAGGCUUCUCCCUCGCAACCCUCGGUCUCAUUCUCUUCUUAGAACAAAAAUCCCCAAAUCACACCCACACACAAACCCUAAAUCGGAAGUGAAACGCGGCGGCUCGUGCCGGCAAGCUCCGCCAUCGCAGCACGGCUGGCAGGCGCUCUCGGUCCCCUUCGCAGGCCAACGCCGCCGCCGCCUCGCAGCGCAGCCCAUUGUCGUUUCUUCCUUCGCCAGCGAAAUCGCCGAGAGGGGAAAGGCGUCGCCUUUCCCUCUUCCUCCGGCGCCCUCUGGUGAUUGACGCCCAUCGUCGACGUUCGCAGCUCGCCGCUGCCUCUCCCUUCGCGAGGCGGUCACACCGACGCCGGCGACCCGCGUCGGCUGCCUUCGUCGUUGCUCGACCAUCGCCGGACCGUUUCUUUCUAAAGCUAAGUUCUUUCUCUUUUAUUUCUCUUGUUUAAGCAUUUUGAGAGUCAUCUAGGAAGUGUUUAAACUUAGUGUGGCUAUAGAACUAUGCUCUUGUUGUUUAUAUGUCUUGGUGCUUAGGAUUCUUUCAUCCUUAAAAUUGGAUACUAAGAUAGAUUAGCUGCAUUGGGUCUGGAGUAGAGCUACUGCAAGUAUUCUAUGUCUUUCUACUUAUUCUACAUGAUGAUAUGAGAUGUUAUUUGGGAGAAAGGUGGAGGUGGAAUACCUCUUGCAAAAAGACAGUGGCUUAAACUCUGAUUUCCAAAGUCCUCAAGGCUUGCUCCCUCCUUGAACUCCUAUGGAAAGAGCUGAGAUUUGCAGUUCUUCUUGUUGGACUUUAAACAGAACUUCUUCCCACUCACUAGCUCUCUCUCGAUAAUGUGAGAGAAACUGAUAUGUGUUGGAGUUGUGAAACCGAUUGGGAGGUAUAUGUGUAUAUGUAUUGGAGUUUGUUGGUAUUUUGGCAGAGAUCAAAUCCGAAACUCUUUAGCUCUUUGCUAGCUAUUUUUGGUGGUUUAUGGGGUAUGUACUUGUGCGAAAAUAAAUGGGAUUGCCGUGCCUCUUGUUGUUAUUCUGCAGCAAAUCCCCCUUUGCUCUUGUACUCUCUCACUUUCAAUUAUGAAAUUUUGGUGUUAUGCUUAAGAGAAGUACUUCUUGAUUUAGUAAUUGUUUUGAUGGUGGCAGGUGGUACUUGGAGGAAGUGCAGUUUGACUGCACAAGGGAAGAGUAUAGGCUCGUUUUUUUUUUUUGUUCGUUUAGGCGAGUCCUUAGUCUCUUGUUGAAAAGAGGUGAAAGAAAAGGCUUGGCUGCCUUGCUGCUGCUUCGAGACGCGGGCCAGCUGCCCUGGGCUCGAUGGGCUGACCGGACAUGGGCCGUGGUUUCUCGAAGGUUGGGCUGGUGGAGCGAGGCCCAGUAGCAUUCCUUCGUAAUAAUAUAGUAUCCCGUAUUUUCUUCAACAAUUUCAUACAUGUGCUGAUCAUAUAGGUUAAUGUCCUAUGUUUUCGAACACCUUUAGUCCGGGUCCUGGGAUAUACAUCUUCAUAUCCUUGUACACUUUCAUUUAUUUCUAUUAUAUAUACAUUGUUUUGUUUUCUUUGUUCA
Long non-coding RNA from Salvia hispanica, 2102 nucleotides. RefSeq lists it as uncharacterized. Lineage: Eukaryota; Viridiplantae; Streptophyta; Magnoliopsida; Lamiales; Lamiaceae. The record is from RefSeq and is a predicted model, not a curated record.